GAACCUACGGGAGGCAGCAGUGGGGGAUAUUGCACAAUGGGCGAAAGCCUGAUGCAGCGACGCCGCGUGAGGGAUGACGGUCCUAUGGAUUGUAAACCUCUUUUGUCGGGGAGCAAGGCCCGCCACGUGUGGCGGGAAGGAGAGUACCCGAAGAAAAAGCAUCGGCUAACUCCGUGCCAGCAGCCGCGGUAAUACGGAGGAUGUGAGCGUUAUCCGGAUUUAUUGGGUUUAAAGGGUGCGUAGGCGGAAGGUUAAGUCAGCGGUCAAAUGUCGGUUCUCAACACCGGCCUGCCGUUGAAACUGGG
RNAcentral lists this ribosomal RNA (305 nucleotides) under uncultured bacterium. RNAcentral describes it as "bacterial SSU rRNA". It matches the Rfam family "Bacterial small subunit ribosomal RNA", at positions 333 to 637 of the family's 1533-position model. The record is from RNAcentral.